GGCAGCACGGGAGAGCGACCCGUCGGCUGGCAGUCAAAGCAACCCUUGGCACGAGCGAUUGUCAGGGGCGGCUUUCUGCGCUUUUCAGAAAUCGGAAGAAAUUUGUACCUUUUGAGACGAAGGUGUGUAUACCGACGAACUUGCUUUCAGCGGAUACCGCAUCGCUCGGGGAGAACGCUGUUCUCCUCGCGGUUCCGUCGCCCCA
Molecule: non-coding RNA, 205 nt
Filed under: unclassified sequences
Also listed under: 1 other name
Description: Cyano-2 RNA
Rfam family: Cyano-2 RNA
Source: RNAcentral